Molecule: ribosomal RNA, 409 nt
Filed under: uncultured bacterium
Lineage: Bacteria
Description: bacterial SSU rRNA
Rfam family: Bacterial small subunit ribosomal RNA
Source: RNAcentral
ACUCCUACGGGAGGCAGCAGUGGGGAAUAUUGCACAAUGGGCGCAAGCCUGAUGCAGCAACGCCGCGUGAGCGAAGAAGGUCUUCGGAUCGUAAAGCUCUUUUUCUUAGGGAAGAAAACUGACGGUACCUAAGGAAUAAGCACCGGCUAAAUACGUGCCAGCAGCCGCGGUAAUACGUAUGGUGCAAGCGUUAUCCGGAAUCACUGGGCGUAAAGGGUGCGUAGGCGGUUUUUGCAAGUCAGAAGUGAAAGGCUACGGCUCAACCGUAGUAAGCUUUUGAAACUGCAAGACUAGAGUGCAGGAGAGGAAAGUGGAAUUCCUAGUGUAGAGGUGAAAUUCGUAGAUAUUAGGAGGAACACCAGUGGCGAAGGCGACUUUCUGGACUGUAACUGACGCUGAUGCACGAAAG